Molecule: long non-coding RNA, 4799 nt
Filed under: Homo sapiens (human)
Lineage: Eukaryota; Metazoa; Chordata; Mammalia; Primates; Hominidae
Description: non-protein coding lnc-MAP3K9-12:1
Source: RNAcentral
GAGGCUUGCCUUUGGAAGCUUUCCAAAGUAUUUAACAUAUUUUUGUAGAAAAAUAAUACUGAUUUAAUCAGAUAACAUAACAUUUUAAUUACGCAAUUACAACAAGUCCUACUGACCAAAACAGGGUUUGCUACAAACAAAACUGACUCUUGAUCAAUAUUCAAGUCAACCAGCUGACACAGAAGGACAUGAGAGUCUAGACGGAGGCUGCCUGACCCAAAGCAGUGAGGGUGGUGGGCAUCCAUGCACUUCGCAGGAGGAGGUGGUCCCUGAAGAGUGCUCUCAUCUCUCAGCACCUGGCACUUAGCAUUAUUUUAAAAGAUAUUUAUUAACCCUUACGUGUAUGAAGGUACGAUACAAACACAAGAGGCCCUGAACUGCUUCUACCUUCCUCCUCUACCCAACCUCCAAAUGUUGGGCCCCAGGGCUUGGAGUCAGGUAGGCCUGGUCUCUAGCACUCCUAUCUUUUCUAUCUAAAUUCAAUAAUUAGCUGACCUCACCCAGUCCCAAAGAUUUAAAUGCCAUCCAGAGACUGAAGACUUUGAAAUGUAAAACUCUAGAUAACAUCUCUCCCAAGCACGUCAAACUUAACAGAAUGUGGAUCAUCCAACUCCCAACCUGUUCUGUCCACCAGACCAAUAACCACUACUACCAUCCACACAGCCACUCAGGCCAAAUGAGUAAGUUGUCCUUGGCUUUCCCAUUUGUAACUCCAUAUCCAAUCUAACAGUAAUUCCUGUCACCUCUCUCUGUUUGUUUCCCUGUCUUCUGUCCUUAAAAUGUAAGCAUCUAGAGGGAAAGGACCCUGUCUUGUUCGAGGAUGUGCCUCCAGCCCCCAAGGCAGUCCCUGACACACAGCAAGUCCUUAACUCACACUUUUUUCCCCCAAGACAGAGUCUUGCUUUGUUGCCCAGGCUGGAGUGCAGUGGUACAAUCUCAGCUCACUGCAAUCUCCGCCUCUUGGGUUCAAGCAGUUUUCCUGCCUCAGCCUCCCGAGAAGCUGGGAUUACAGGCACAUGCCACCACGCCCGACUAAUUUUCGUAUUCUUAGUAGAGAUGGAGUUUCACCAUGUUGGCCAGGCUGGUCUAGAACUCUUGAUCUCGUGAUCUGCCUGCCUCAGCCUCCCAAAGUCCUGGGAUUACAGGCAUGAGCCAAUGCACCUGGCCCAAUUCCCACUAUUAAGUGGAAAACACUCCUAAAAAAACCUCUGAGGCCGGGUGCGGAGGCUCACGCCUGUAAUCCCAGCACUUUGGGAGACCCAGGUGGGUGGAUCACAAAGUCAGGCAGGAGAUAGAGACCAUCCUGGCUAAUACAGUGAAAACCCGUCUCUAUUAAAAAAAAUACAAAAAAUUUGCUGGGUGUGGUGGUGGGUGCCUGUAGUCCCAGCUACUCGGGAGGCUGAGGCAGGAGAAUGGCGUGAACCCAGGAGAUUCUCCUGCCUUAGCCUCCUAAGUAGCUGGGAUUCCAGACGUGUGCCACCAGGCCGGGCUAAUUUUUGUAUUUUUAGAAGAGACAGGGUCUCAUCAUGUUGGUCAGGCUGGUCUCGAAGUCCUGAUCUUGUGAUCCGCCCACCUCGGCGACCCAAAGUGCUGGGAUUACAGGCGUGAGCUGCCAUGCCUGGCCGGGACUCUGCUUUUAAUGUUGCAGCUCGGGGAGUUAAGAAAGGUUCUAAUAGUUUAUUUGCUUGGUUACCUGAAAUAUGGAUUAAAAGGUGGCCCACUGUGAGCAACCUGGAAAUGCCUGAUCUCCCUUGGUUUGAUGUAGAGGAAGGGAUCCAAAAGCUUAAGGAGAUUGGGGUGGUGGAGUGGAUUAGUCCCUUUAGACCUACUCAUCACAGCUGGGAAGGUCCAGAAGAUAUACCCUUGACCAAUGCCUUGUGAAACAGAUUGCUGAGGGCAGCACCUGCAUCUGUGAAAAGCACUGUAAUUGCUCUUCUCUGUAUGUCAGAUCUCAUGGUGGGAAGCACAGUCACUCAACUACUAAAUUUAACUACAAUGGGAAUAAUUGGAUUGCAAAGUUGCAGGGGCCAACUAAGUGGCAGCACUCAACCAUCAAAGGCAAGUGGGCAUAGCUACCACAAUGGGCAGCAGAGGCAAAGUGGCAAUCAGAAUAAUCUGACUCCUGUAGAGCUCUGGCAUUUGCUAAUUAAUCAUGGUGUUCCUAGAAGUGAAACUGAUAGGAAGCCUAAUGCAUUUCUACUUAAUUUAUAUCAGCAGAAAACUUCUAGGUCAAAUGGACAAAAUACUAAGUUGAAUUCUAAAAAUAGAGAAUCAUGGCCCCUCAAUCAAUUUCCGGACUUGAGCCAGUUUACAGAUCCAGAACCCCUUGAAUGAAGGGGAGGCCGGGUCCCCUUGAGGAAGGAUCCCACUACAUUACCAACAAUUUAUGCAGUGAAUCUUUCUCCCAUCCUUCCCCAAGACCUCUGGCCUUUUACCAGGGUAACUGUGCACUGGGGAAAGGGAAAUGAUCAGACAUUUCAGGGACUACAGGAUACUGGCUCUGAGCUGAUGCUGAUUCCAGGGGACCCAAAACGUCACUGUAGUCCUCCAGUUAAAGUAGGGUCUUAUGGAGGUCAGGUAAUUAAUGGAGUUUUAGCUCAGGUGCGACUUACAGUGGGUACAGUGGGUCCCCGGACUCAUCCUGUGGUCAUUUCCCAGUGCCAGAAUGCGUAAUUGGCAUAGGCAUAAUUAGGAGCUGGUAGAACCCCCAGAUUGGCUCCCUGACUGGUAGGGUGAGGGCUAUUAUGGAGGGAAAGUCCAAAUGGAAGCCAUUAGAGCUGCCUCUACCUAGAAAAAUAGUAAAUCAAAAACAAUACCGCAUGCCUAAAGAGACUGCAGAAAUUAAUGCCACCAUCAAGGACUUGAAAGACGCAGGGAUGGUGAUCCCAUUUGGCCUGCGCAGAAGACAUAGAUCUUGGUGAAUGACAGUGGAUUACUGUAAGCUUAACCAACUGGUGACUCCAAUUGCAGCUGCUGUAUCAGAUGUGGUUUCACUGCUUGAGCAAAUUAACAUAUCUCCUGGUACCUGGUAUGCAGCCAUAGACGUGGCAAAUGCCUUUUUCUCCAUUCCUGUCCAUAUGGCCCAUCUGAAGCAAUUUGCCUUCAGCUGGCAAGGCCAGCAAUAUACAUUUACUGUCCUGCCUCAGAGGUAUAUCAACUCUCCAGCUUUGUAUCAUAAUUUAUUCGGAGAGACCUUGAUCACUUUUCAUUUCCACAAGAUAUCACACUGGUCCAUUACGUUGAUGACAUUAUGCUGAGUGGAUCUAGUGAGCAAGACACUGGACUUAUUGGGGAGAUAUUUGCAUGCCAGAGGAUGGGAAAUAAAUCCAACUAAAAUUCAGGGACCUUCCACUUCAGUAAAAUUUCUAGGGAUCCAGUGGUAUGGGGCCUGUCAAGAUAUUCCUUCUAAGGUGAAGGAAAAGUUGCUGCAUUUGGCUCCUCCUACAACCAAGAAAGAGGCACAACGCCUAGUGGACCUAUUUGGAUUUCGGAGGCAACACAUUCCUCAUGUGGGUGUGUUACUCUGGCCCAUUUAUCAAGUGACCCGAAAGGCUGCCAGUUUUGAGUGGGGUCCAGAACAGGAGAAGGCUCUGCAACAGGUCCAGGCUGCUGUGCAAGCUGCUCUGCCACUUGGGCCAUAUGACCCAGCAGAUCCACUAGUGCUUGAAGUGGAUGCUGUUUGGAGCCCUCAGCAGGCCCCCAUAGGUGAAUCACAGAGGAGGCCUCUAGGAUUUUGGAGCAAGGCUCUGCCGCCUUCUGCAGGUAACUACUCUCCUUUUGAGAGACAGCUCUUUGUCUGUUACUGGGCUUUGCUGGAAACUGAACAUUUGACUAUGGGUCAUCAAGUCACCAUGCAACCUGAACUGCCUAUCAUGAAUUGGGUGCCUUCUAACCAAUCUAGCUAUAAAGUGGGUCAUGCACAGCAGCAUUCUAUCAUCAAAUGGAAGUGGUAUAUACGUGAUUGCGCUCGAGCACAUCCUGAAGGCACAAGUAAGUUACAUGAGGAAGUGGCUCAAGUGCCCAUGGUCUCCACUCCUGCCACCCUGCCUUCUCUCCCCUAGCCUGCACCCACGGCCUCAUGGGGAGUUCCCUAUCAUCAGUUGACAGAGGAAGAGAAGACUAGGGCCUGUUCACAGAUGGUUCUGCACGAUAUGCAGGCACCACCCAAAAGUGGACAGCUGCAGCACUACAGCCCUUUUCUAGGACAUCUCUGAAGGACAGAGGUGAAAUGAAAUCUUCCCAGUGGGCAGAACUUCAAGCAGUGCACCUGGUUGUGCACUUUGCAUGGAAGGAGAAAUGGCCAGAUGUGCAAUUAUAUACUGAUUCAUAGGCUGUAGCCAAGAGUUUGGCUGGAUGGUCAGGGACUUGGAUGAAGGAUGAUUGGAAAAUUGGUGACAAAGAAAUGUGGGGAAGAUGUGGAUGGACCCCUCUGAGUGGUCAAAAACUGUGAAGUUAUUUGUAUCCCAUGUGAGUGCUCACCAAAAGGUGACCUCAGCAGAGGAGGAUUUUAAUAAUCAAGUGAAUGGAAUGACCCAUUCUGUGGAUACUACUCAGCCUCUUUCCCCAGCCACCCGUCAUCACCCAAUGGGCCCAUGAACAAAAUGAUCAUAGUGGCAGAGAUGGAGGUUACAUAUGAGCUCAACAACAUGGACUUCCACUCACCAAGGCUGUCCUGGCUACGGCCACUUCUGAGUGCCCAAUUUGCCAGCUGCAGAGACCAACACUGAGUCCUUGAUAUGGCACCAUUCCUCGGGGUGAUCAGCCAGCUACCUAGUGGCAGGUUGAUUAUACUGGACCUC